Molecule: ribosomal RNA, 677 nt
Filed under: uncultured bacterium
Lineage: Bacteria
Description: bacterial SSU rRNA
Rfam family: Bacterial small subunit ribosomal RNA
Source: RNAcentral
CAUGCAAGUCGAGGGGCAGCAUUUUAGUUUGCUUGCAAACUGAAGAUGGCGACCGGCGCACGGGUGAGUAACACGUAUCCAACCUGCCGAUAACUCCGGAAUAGCCUUUCGAAAGAAAGAUUAAUACCGGAUAGCAUACGAAUAUCGCAUGAUAUUUUUAUUAAAGAAUUUCGGUUAUCGAUGGGGAUGCGUUCCAUUAGUUUGUUGGCGGGGUAACGGCCCACCAAGACUACGAUGGAUAGGGGUUCUGAGAGGAAGGUCCCCCACAUUGGAACUGAGACACGGUCCAAACUCCUACGGGAGGCAGCAGUGAGGAAUAUUGGUCAAUGGGCGAGAGCCUGAACCAGCCAAGUAGCGUGAAGGAUGAAGGCUCUAUGGGUCGUAAACUUCUUUUAUAUGGGAAUAAAGUUUUCCACGUGUGGAAUUUUGUAUGUACCAUAUGAAUAAGGAUCGGCUAACUCCGUGCCAGCAGCCGCGGUAAUACGGAGGAUCCGAGCGUUAUCCGGAUUUAUUGGGUUUAAAGGGAGCGUAGGUGGAUUGUUAAGUCAGUUGUGAAAGUUUGCGGCUCAACCGUAAAAUUGCAGUUGAAACUGGCAGUCUUGAGUACAGUAGAGGUGGGCGGAAUUCGUGGUGUAGCGGUGAAAUGCUUAGAUAUCACGAAGAACUCCGAUUGCGAA